AUUGAACGCUGGCGGCAGGCCUAACACAUGCAAGUCGAGCGGGCGUAGCGGGCUUGCUCCUGGAUUCAGCGGCGGCCGGGUGAGUCAUGCCUAUGACUCUGCCUGAGAGCGGGGGAUCACGUCCGGAUACGGGCGCUGCUACCGCAGAGGACGUGAGGUCGAAGGAGGGGGGUCUUGGGACCUCUCGCUAUCAUAUGAGCCUAGGUGGGAUUGGCUAGGUGGUGGGAUAACGGCCUACCAAGGCGACGAUCCGUAACUGGUCUGAGAGGAUGAUCAGUCACAUCGGAAGUGAGACACGGUCCAGACUCCUACGGUGGGCCGCAGUGGGGAAUAUUGGACGAUGGGCGAAAGCCUGAUCCAGCCAUGCCGCGGGUGUGAAGAAGGUGUUCGGCUUGGAGAGCACUGUAAGUUGGGGGGAAGGGCAGUAAGUUAAGCCCGGGCUGUUUUGACGUUACCAGCAGAAGAAGCACCGGCUAACUUCGUG
This 484-nucleotide ribosomal RNA is filed under the name uncultured bacterium. RNAcentral's name for it is "partial 16S ribosomal RNA". It matches the Rfam family "Bacterial small subunit ribosomal RNA", at positions 28 to 507 of the family's 1533-position model. The record is from RNAcentral.